This 468-nucleotide ribosomal RNA is filed under the name uncultured bacterium. RNAcentral describes it as "partial 16S ribosomal RNA". It matches the Rfam family "Bacterial small subunit ribosomal RNA", at positions 28 to 507 of the family's 1533-position model. The record is from RNAcentral.
GACGAACGCUGGCGGCGUGCUUAACACAUGCCAGUCGAACGGAAAGGCCCUGCUUUUGUGGGGUGCUCGAGUGGCGAACGGGUGAGUAACACGUGAGUAACCUGCCCUUGACUUUGGGAUAACUUCAGGAAACUGGGGCUAAUACCGGAUAGGAGCUCCUGCUGCAUGGUGGGGGUUGGAAAGUUUCGGCGGUUGGGGAUGGACUCGCGGCUUAUCAGCUUGUUGGUGGGGUAGUGGCUUACCAAGGCUUUGAGGGGUAGCCGGCCUGAGAGGGUGACCGGCCACAUUGGGACUGAGAUACGGCCCAGACUCCUACGGGAGGCAGCAGUGGGGAAUAUUGCUCAAUGGGCGGAAGCCUGAUGCAGCAACGCCGCGUGCGGGAUGACGGCCUUCGGGUUGUAAACCGCUUUCGCCUGUGACGAAGCGUGAGUGACGGUAAUGGGUAAAGAAGCACCGGCUAACUACGUG